UGGGGAAUAUUGCACAAUGGGCGCAAGCCUGAUGCAGCCAUGCCGCGUGUGUGAAGAAGGCCUUCGGGUUGUAAAGCACUUUCAGCGAGGAGGAAGGUGGUGAACUUAAUACGUUCAUCAAUUGACGUUACUCGCAGAAGAAGCACCGGCUAACUCCGUGCCAGCAGCCGCGGUAAUACGGAGGGUGCAAGCGUUAAUCGGAAUUACUGGGCGUAAAGCGCACGCAGGCGGUUUGUUAAGUCAGAUGUGAAAUCCCCGGGCUCAACCUGGGAACUGCAUUUGAAACUGGCAAGCUAGAGUCUCGUAGAGGGGGGUAGAAAUUCCAGGUGUAGCGGUGAAAUGCGUAGAGAUCUGGAGGAAUACCGGUGGCGAAGGCGGCCCCCCUGGACGAAGACUGACGCUCAGGUGCGAAAGCGUGGGGAGCAAACAGAUUAGNUACCCUGGUAGUCCAGCGCUGUAAACGAUGUCGAUUUGGAGGUUGUGCCCUUGAGGCGUGGCUUCCGGAGCUAACGCGUUAAAUCGACCGCCUGGGGGAGUACGGCCGCAAGGUUAAAACUCAAAGGAAUUGACGGGGUCAUAGCUGUUUCCU
Molecule: ribosomal RNA, 589 nt
Filed under: uncultured bacterium
Lineage: Bacteria
Description: partial 16S ribosomal RNA
Rfam family: Bacterial small subunit ribosomal RNA
Source: RNAcentral